AGCCGAAACGGCCCCCUUUUUGGGGGCUGUCACCAGGAAUUGCCCCACCUGGUCUGAUGAUGGCAGGGCAGA
RNAcentral lists this non-coding RNA (72 nucleotides) under Oscillospiraceae bacterium. Lineage: Bacteria; Bacillati; Bacillota; Clostridia; Eubacteriales; Oscillospiraceae. The record is from RNAcentral.